RNAcentral lists this ribosomal RNA (245 nucleotides) under uncultured Lachnospiraceae bacterium. Its description in RNAcentral is "partial 16S ribosomal RNA". It matches the Rfam family "Bacterial small subunit ribosomal RNA", at positions 524 to 768 of the family's 1533-position model. The record is from RNAcentral. Lineage: Bacteria; Bacillati; Bacillota; Clostridia; Lachnospirales; Lachnospiraceae.
UACGUAGGGGACAAGCGUUAUCCGGAUUUACUGGGUGUAAAGGGAGCGUAGGCGGCAAAGCAAGUCAGAAGUGAAAGCCCGCGGCUCAACUGCGGGACUGCUUUUGAAACUGUUUAGCUAGAGUACUGGAGGGGCAAGCGGAAUUCCUGGUGUAGCGGUGAAAUGCGUAGAUAUCAGGAAGAACACCGGAGGCGAAGGCGGCUUGCUGGACAGAUACUGACGCUGAGGCUCGAAGGCGUGGGGAG